CAGAGAGAAAGAGAAGAGGAAGGAGGAAACAGGCAGCUCCCCUGCUGCGAAUGCUCGUUUUUAGGUCUCAGUCUGUCUCUCUCGCUGUCAGGUUGUUGAACUGUGUUUCCAAGGCUAAGUAAACAAGUGGGGAGACUGAUUCCUUUCCAUAACGCCUGGAUUCUGGGCAGCUUUGCACCCCAGCUGCAUCUGUAGUAUAUUUUUAACCUGAAGGAUCUGUUUGGAAAAGCUUAUCUAUGCUGCAAUAUUUAUGGUCGGCACUACUCCACUUCUUUUGGUAGAAGAAACAAAGUGGUGAAGAAUGUCCUAGUCUUCAGCACAUUUAAUUUUUGAGCUGUGGUAGAAACACUAACGAAGGCAUCUUUUAGUGCUGUUUUCCACAUAUUGGCAGCAGAUGGCAGCUCCAGGGUCCUCUCCAGCUUGGUUCUAGCUCUCGGAGUGAGUGCUCUGCAUUCUUCACCAAGACAGUAGGACUCCAGCUCCUGGCAUUCCUCGCACCACAUCCAGCAGUAGCCAAUACGCUUCUCCAGUCAUUGCGUAGUGUUGGGGGCACGAGUCCAGAGUGAAGCAAAGUCUCCUACGUCUCUUCCAAAUUCACCUUCCAGUAAGUCACUCAGGGUCCUUAAAAUAAGAGAGACUUUGAGAGGAAAACUGGUGAAGAGGAAGCGAAGGGGGACAAUUGCUGACUGAAAGAAUGGGAAAGAGCAAGCUUCACCAUUACGGCUGCCACCUGCACCAUCUCCUCGGACCCACUAUAACAUCAUUGGGCCUUCAUUGUCCUGUUCCCAAGAGAUGUCUUCACUGGAACAUGCCAAGAGAGGGACCCAGAUGACAUCUCCAUGGACUAUGGCAGAAUCGCAGCUACCACCUGAGACAUAACACACACACACACUCUCUCUCUCUCUCAUGUACAUCCACCAUGUGUCCUUUUCUUUCCCCACCUUUAUUUUUUUUCUUUUCUCUCAUUCUCUCUCUUUUUGCCUUCUAUUUAAGAGUGUGGCUUAGUUGGCCAAGACUAUGUAUUUUGCACACUGCUGUAAGGCUGUCAUCAGAGAGGCAACCAAAAUAAUACCCUAAGCAGUCCGAUGCUGGUACAAGUUUGUCAGGUCUAAUAGUGGCUAAUAAGAUCGUGUGCUAUGCCUGUGUUUUUCUAGUAGUGAGGUUGCAAGUGAGAGUCAGUACUAGAAACAGAAGCUGCAUUUUCUGUCUUUGCUUGUCUUUUCUUUCCCCUUUUGUGUGUGUUUGUUUUGUCUUGUCUUUAGGAGAUAGGAUUGGAUUUUAACAGCAACAGCCAUGACAGCUCCAGCCCAUCUCAACUAACUUCUUCUCUUUUCUCUAAAAAGUGUUAUCACCAUCUUUAAUACCAUCUGGAGACUGUCAGCUAAGUGGCAGUUACUGCUAAAAACUCUCUCCAGCUGAAGAAAAAAGGAACAAGGGAUGUUGUUAAAAUGAAGACCUGACUUAAUACUUUACAUUUCAGUUGCUUUAACUCUUUUUUCCUUCUUUUUCUGUAUCUUAAAUAAAAGGUGACCAAGAUUUUUAAUGGCGUGUUUGCUAUGGUACUAAGCAGGCUGUGUCUAUAUACCAAACCAUGAACGUUGUUGGACAGUUACAGGGUUAUAUUAACAACUUCAACUCUUUGGACCAUUUAUUCCAUCUAAACUAAUAUCACUCUUAUACCACUAACUAGGUUCCACCAGUGGUAGAAAAAAUGGGAGCAGUAGUGUAGAAAUGAUUCCAACAGCUGCUGGUGUAUUCAACAAUUUCCUGGUCCCACUGAAAGCCAAUGGGCGUUUUGCCAUUGAUUUCAAAGCAGCCAGAAUUUCACGCUGGAACUUUGUCUACACUCCAUCGUUGCUGCUACAGGUGCAGUGGAACUUGGGAGUAGUAACAGUGAAUAAUUUUAGCAAAAACUUUUAUUUCUCUUUGUGUUUUUAUUAAUCUUAGCCUAUUGGCCUUUUUUAGUUUUUGACCCUCAUCGGUUUGCUAGUAAUACAGAGCCUGAUGGAUGCCUAUUGACAUUUUCAAAAGUGAAUAUAUACCUAGACAAAUUCAGAAUGGAAAUAAGGUGUACAUU
Chrysemys picta bellii (western painted turtle) is the source of this 2077-nucleotide long non-coding RNA. RefSeq lists it as uncharacterized. NCBI's taxonomy places the organism in Eukaryota, Metazoa, Chordata, Testudines, Emydidae. The record is from RefSeq and is a predicted model, not a curated record.